UCUGUGGAAAAAGAAUUUUUGGUGUGGCCAUGAUUUUGUGGGAAAUCCAAACCAAGGACAACUCAGGGAAGUUGUCGCUCUUCGGCCCUGGAGGUCCUGCCGGUCCUGCUGCUAACAAGGUGACUGGAUAACAGUUUCAUUCAUUGACUGACCAGUUUGUUUACGGGCCCCUGUUUAGGCAAAAACACCCAUCCCGACCUCGACCGUGACAGGGCCUCUUCCCCAGUGCCUCAGCUUAAGGCCGUUUUAAAAUCCUUGCACGUUCCUGCAAAGAUCAGGUUUCAUUCUUGGGUGCACAAACUUGGCCGCUUUCUGAGGUGGAGCUCCUGACUGGUUAAACAGGGCUUCUUUCCACCUCCACCACCAGCCUUCACAAUUUCUCCUCUAUUGGACCUGGAGAAGGGCGGAGUCCAGUAUCUAUAAAAGGGGACGUGGAACCCCCACCAAUACCAAGUUAGCGAUAUGGCAAAGGAAAAAAAAGAAGCAUUAAAAUAUUACAUAAAUUGAAUGGGUGAAAGAGGCUGAAUGGUAAGUAUUUUAUGUUACUUUUAUAAGCUGCACUCUCCAGUAGGGUGUCUGAUAGCCAUAUGUGCCUAUUGAACACUUGAAAUGUGGUUAUGUCUACUGAAAAACCAAAUUGUUAAUUUAAUUUUAAAUUUUAAAAACGGAUUUCAGUUAUUGGAAAACCUUUACGUGUGUUUGGAACAACUUGGAUAUAUGAAUAUAUUUUUUUUCAACUUAAAUUUUGUGAAAUCUAAAUUUAGAAUCCAAGUUGAGAUGUGCUGUAUCUAAGUACGAACUAACAGGAUUUCAAAGACUUAGUACCAGAAUUUUUUAAAAAAAGUAUAUUGAAUAGCUUAUUAAUAAUUUUUAUAUUGAUUACAUGUUGAAAUGAUAAUAUUUUGAGCAUACUGGUUUAAACGAAAUGUAACAUUAAAAUAAAAUUUACCUGUUUUUAUUGUUUUAAAUGUGGCUACGAGGACAAUUAAAUGUUUAUGUAUUUGUAUUAGAUGAUGCUGGCUUAAUCUGUUAAACACAGAAAUACUAAUAUCUGUUGUUUGUGCAUAUGUUUUCUGAAGUGGUUAAAAAUGAGAACCAAAUGGACAGGAUGGAUACACUCCAACUUCAGGGUGGGGUUCAUCUCUCAGGAGGGAGGCCAAGGGAUAGUAUCAGGGAAUGUUUUAAAGGUGGAGUCUGUUAUGUUUUAAGUUUUUGUUCAUUAAAAAAAAAUCUGAAACAAAUGUAGUGUUAGGAUGCUGGAUUUUCAUUUUUUUGUACAUUCAUUUGUUUUUAAAAUGAUUCAUGAUAUUGUUUGGUCCUUGGUCUUAAAAGUUUAUAAUCUAUCUUACACAAAAUGUGACCAAAUUACUUCAUGUAUUUGUGUAUGGCUUAGCAAUGUAUCGGUUUCAUACGAAUUUUACUAAAGAAUUGUGGCUAGGCUUCCUUUAUACACCAUACAGUAUUUUAAAAAGAUCCAAUUAAAAUUUAUUGCGUACUAGGAUCUUUUCUAGGUCCUGGGGUAUGAAAAAAUUGAGACAGGGUCCUAGCCAUUUGGGAGCUCAUUGUCUAGUGGUAGAGUAGCUUAACAGGCACACUAUAUAAGCUGCCAAAGACUGAAUGUGUCCUCCCAAAAUUCAUAUGUUGAAACCUAAUCCCCAGUGUGAUGGUAUUCGGAGGCAGUAUCUUUGGGAGGUGAUUAGGUCAUGAGGUGGAGCCCUCCUGAAUGGGAUUAGGGCCUCCAUAAAAGAGGCUCCUGAGAGUGAGAGCUUCUUUUGCUCCUUUUUCCGUGUGAGGACGCAAGUGAGAAGACAGCAGUUGAUGAACUAGAAAGCCGACUCACCAGAUACAAACCUGCCAGCGCCUUGGUCUUGAACUUUCUAGCGUAUAGAACUGUGAGAAAUAAAUUUCUGUUGUUUAUAAGCCA
This is a long non-coding RNA of Ailuropoda melanoleuca (giant panda), 1924 nucleotides long. RefSeq lists it as uncharacterized. Lineage: Eukaryota; Metazoa; Chordata; Mammalia; Carnivora; Ursidae. The transcript has 2 exons. The record is from RefSeq and is a predicted model, not a curated record.